Molecule: ribosomal RNA, 353 nt
Filed under: uncultured Coriobacteriales bacterium
Lineage: Bacteria; Bacillati; Actinomycetota; Coriobacteriia; Coriobacteriales
Description: bacterial SSU rRNA
Rfam family: Bacterial small subunit ribosomal RNA
Source: RNAcentral
AGAGUUUGAUCCUGGCUCGAGGACGAACGCUGGCGGCGUGCUUAACACAUGCAAGUCGAACGGGGAUAUUGGAAUUGAGAGCUUCGGCAGGAUUUUCUAAUAUUCUAGUGGCGGACGGGUGAGUAACGCGUGAACAAUCUGUCCCAGACAGGGGGAUAACACUUGGAAACAGGUGCUAAUACCGCAUAAGACCACGGGAUCGCAUGGUUCUGGGGUAAAACGGGCAACCGGGUUUGGGGUGAGUUCGCGUCCGAUUAGAUAGUUGGUGAGGUAACGGCCCACCAAGUCGACGAUCGGUAGCCGACCUGAGAGGGUGAUCGGCCACAUUGGAACUGAGAGACGGUCCAAACUCC